RNAcentral lists this ribosomal RNA (484 nucleotides) under uncultured bacterium. RNAcentral describes it as "partial 16S ribosomal RNA". It matches the Rfam family "Bacterial small subunit ribosomal RNA", at positions 30 to 507 of the family's 1533-position model. The record is from RNAcentral.
AUUGAACGCUGGCGGCAGGCCUAACACAUGCAAGUCGAGCGGAUGAAGGGAGCUUGCUCCUGGAUUCAGCGGCGGACGGGUGAGUAAUGCCUAGGAAUCUGCCUGGUAGUGGGGGAUAACGUCCGGAAACGGGCGCUAAUACCGCAUACGUCCUGAGGGAGAAAGUGGGGGAUCUUCGGACCUCACGCUAUCAGAUGAGCCUAGGUCGGAUUAGCUAGUUGGUGGGGUAAAGGCCUACCAAGGCGACGAUCCGUAACUGGUCUGAGAGGAUGAUCAGUCACACUGGAACUGAGACACGGUCCAGACUCCUACGGGAGGCAGCAGUGGGGAAUAUUGGACAAUGGGCGAAAGCCUGAUCCGGCCAUGCCGCGUGUGUGAAGAAGGUCUUCGGAUUGUAAAGCACUUUAAGUUGGGAGGAAGGGCAGUAAGUUAAUACCUGGCUGUUUUGACGUUACCAACAGAAUAAGCACCGGCUAACUUCGUG